This 196-nucleotide unclassified non-coding RNA is filed under the name plant metagenome. RNAcentral describes it as "partial contains small subunit ribosomal RNA and internal transcribed spacer 1". The stretch from base 1 to 46 matches the Rfam family "Eukaryotic small subunit ribosomal RNA", at positions 1786 to 1831 of the family's 1831-position model. The record is from RNAcentral.
AAGUCGUAACAAGGUUUCCGUAGGUGAACCUGCGGAAGGAUCAUUAUUGAAAACAAGGGUGUCCAAUUUAACUUGGAACCCGAACUUCUCAAUUCUAACUUUGUGCAUCUGUAUUAUGGCGAGCAGUCUUCGGAUUGUGAGCCUUCACUUAUAAACACUAGUCUAUGAAUGUAAAAUUUUUUAUAACAAAUAAAAA